AAAGCUUAGAACAAAUGAAGUAAUGAAGUUAAAAAAAUCUAUUUACAAACCAAAAUGUCUUCUAAACUUCUGACUCGUCAAAGUACCAUCUUUGGCAGAUAUAACAGCUGAACUCACUCAUUCUUUUCAUGAUGGAAAUCAAAAUUCUUCAGAAAGUUCUUCCAACAGUUCUUCCUCCUUCCUCAGUCGUCCAUUGACGAUGUUUCAUGGUCCAGACAAGCCUCUUUUUCUUAUUCUGACGUCUUAGCAACGGCUUUCUGCUGCAGCUCCACCUGUCAAACCUGUAACUCCAAGUCUUCUCUCCACAGUUAAACUUCUUCCUACGACCUCUAUGAAGCUGAUUGAAGCUGUUGUCCUCUGAGCUCCUAUCACCAAGUUGUUGACUCACAAACUGGUCUUCUGGUUCUGUUGUGGCUUUGGGUCUUCUAGACCAGUGUUUCUCAACUGGUGGGUCGCGACCCAAAAGUGGGUCGCGGGGCCGUUUUUGGUGGGUCGCGAGCCUUUUUCUAAAAAGAGAAAAAUAAAGAUAAUCCAAUUUAGUGGCGAGUCAUUGUAGUUCCCCUCCGCACCCGCAGGGGGUCGUCGUGUCAGCAGCGACCGGUGAGGACACUCGUAUUACUGUAGAAGAAACUGCAUGUUUUCAUAGCAACAGCAGCGUGGCUAAACGCAAGUACGACAGCGAGUACAUUAAAUAUGGAUUUUCCUACAUCGAAGACAAAGGAGUCCAAAAGCACGCAUCUGAAUAAACUUUUCGAGCGGUUUAGCGACUACUUUCCCGAUAAACAACCCGAGGACGACUGGGUGCGCGACCCGUUUGGAAUAAACAUGGAAAGCAUCACGUUGCCUAGCAGCGAUGAAUGUCAGCUGGUGGAGCUAUCAUGUGACCGCACUCUCAGAAAGAAAUUCACAGAGAAGCCAAGGUCUGUAGUGGAAAAGGCUCACUGAAGGAAAUGAGGGACACUAUUGAGAAACAUGUACGUGACAAAACCAACAUGUUUGAGAAGGCUAAAGCUGAAAUGUUGAAACAGCUGGAUAACCUGAAGGAGGAGAUCCUGGAGAUACUUAAGGAAACCUUGGAGAAAUCCAUUGAGAACUCACUGAAGACAGAUGAUGACUUAACCCCAGAUGUUACAGCAGAACUUGAGGAAGUGAAGAGAUACUAUGAUGAACUGAAACGCAGCUCAGAAAAAUAGAUGCCACUGUUGUAUGAUAUUUCUAAAUGUCUUUGAUUGUGAACAGUUUUUGUUCUAAAUAAUGAUAAUAAAACCUUUAAUUACAGCAGAGCUGAUGUCCAUGUUCAAGAGAAAAAUGCGAAAUGUGCGCACACUUUCUUUUCCUGGAAAAACAUCCGUCUGUAUGACCAGAAUAAAUGUUGAAUAUGAUCUGUCCUGCUAGAAUUAUACAUAUUGUAUUAUUAUACAUUAUCAUUACAUAGCAAGCAUACCAGAGAAAUACUGCAGACAUACAGAAGAAUAAUGCAACAUACAGGAGAAUACUGCAACAUACAGGAGAAUACUGCAACAUACAGGAGAAAUACUGCAACAUACAGGAGAAAUACUGCAACAUACAGGAGAAUACUGCAGACAUACAGAAUACUGCAGAC
Long non-coding RNA from Amphiprion ocellaris (clown anemonefish), 1603 nucleotides. RefSeq lists it as uncharacterized. The transcript has 4 exons. The record is from RefSeq and is a predicted model, not a curated record. Lineage: Eukaryota; Metazoa; Chordata; Actinopteri; Pomacentridae.